CCUACGGGAGGCAGCAGUGAGGAAUAUUGGUCAAUGGGCGCGAGCCUGAACCAGCCAAGUCGCGUGAGGGAUGAAGGUUCUAUGGAUCGUAAACCUCUUUUAUAAGGGAGUAAAGUGUGGGACGUGUCCUAUUUUGUAUGUACCUUAUGAAUAAGGAUCGGCUAACUCCGUGCCAGCAGCCGCGGUAAUACGGAGGAUCCGAGCGUUAUCCGGAUUUAUUGGGUUUAAAGGGUGCGUAGGCGGCCUUUUAAGUCAGCGGUGAAAGUAUGGGGCUUAACCAUAGAAGUGCCGUUGAAACUGGGGGGCUAGAGUAUGGAUGAGGUAGGCGGAAUGAGUGGUGUAGCGGUGAAAUGCUUAGAUAUCACGCAGAACACCGAUGGCGAAGGCAGCCUGCCAGGCCAAGACUGACGCUGAUGCACGAAAGCGUGGGGAGCAAACAGGAUUAGAUACCCGAGUAGUC
Molecule: ribosomal RNA, 460 nt
Filed under: uncultured bacterium
Lineage: Bacteria
Description: partial 16S ribosomal RNA
Rfam family: Bacterial small subunit ribosomal RNA
Source: RNAcentral